Molecule: long non-coding RNA, 256 nt
Filed under: Elaeis guineensis (African oil palm)
Lineage: Eukaryota; Viridiplantae; Streptophyta; Magnoliopsida; Arecales; Arecaceae
Description: long non-coding RNA (EGUI_LNC023421)
Source: RNAcentral
GUGAAGUUCGUCUUCCAGCUUCUUAGAUUUUCUUGUCGAUCGAUGAACUUUUCUUUGCAGGUUUCGUAUCAUCGACUUCAUGGGAAUACCCUCCGGUAGGGGAAGAUCUUCGGUAGGACACUGUCGUUGGAAGACAAGAGCGCCACGACUCAAAUUAAUGCAAGAAGACAAAGAGAAGGAAAAGAAUACAAAAAGGGGGAAGGGACCAUCCGUAAAUAUGAAUCCAGCUUCAUUGAUCAAAUAAGUUCCAAGUACA